Molecule: transfer RNA, 69 nt
Filed under: Millardia meltada (soft-furred rat)
Lineage: Eukaryota; Metazoa; Chordata; Mammalia; Rodentia; Muridae
Description: tRNA-Gly
Rfam family: tRNA
About the family: Transfer RNA (tRNA) molecules are approximately 80 nucleotides in length. Their secondary structure includes four short double-helical elements and three loops (D, anti-codon, and T loops).
Source: RNAcentral
ACUCUUUUAGUAUAAUGAAUACGACUGACUUCCAAUUAGUAAAUUCUGAUUAAGCUUCAGAAGAGAGUA